Long non-coding RNA from Leptopilina heterotoma, 1860 nucleotides. RefSeq lists it as uncharacterized. Lineage: Eukaryota; Metazoa; Arthropoda; Insecta; Hymenoptera; Figitidae. The record is from RefSeq and is a predicted model, not a curated record. The transcript is spliced from 2 exons.
AAAAACUAAUGUGAAAUUUAGUAAAGUUAUAUUAAACUAGAAGUGGGCGCGCAACGCGCUGUUUUGGUUCUAGUGCUAAUAACAAAAAGAAUAAGGUUCUGCUACUUAUACAGAAAUUUUAAACGAAAUGUCCAUCUUGUGACAUCCUUAAUUUUUAGCAUAUUUUCCAUUUUUUGAAGAAUUGUUUCUAAUCGCAGACUAAUUGAGUUUUUAAUAGUGGAAAUCGGUUUGAUGAAAAGUAUAAAGACCCCAAUGCAUAAAGUUCUCGAUAUUCUCGAUGUAUGCCAACUGGAUGCCAGUGAGCUUCAUCCUCUCUUAGAAGAGGUCGAUUUGGUUCUGGAAUCUCAAACCAAAAGUGUUGCGUUUUUUGAGUUUUGAAACAAAAUUCGUUGCUCUCGGGGGGGUCUUUAGCUUUCGUUUCUAUGCGCGCUAACGGUGGUAGCGACCAAUAUUCAAAUGGUACAAUAAGCCUAAGCUCUAGGAUAACACGGAAGUGGUGCAAGGUCACGGUCACCCUGGGGAUGCCCUCUUUGGCGAGAGUUGCCGGAAGGGGGAAGUAGAAGAGAGCAAGAGAGAGAGUGAGAGAGAGAGAGAAGGGGGGGAGGUACACAUAGUGGUAGAAGUGGUAGACGAGGGCUUCUCCUCAACAAGUGUAAUCGUUCUGUGCACGAGGCUGAUGGUUAUAUAGCUAGCGAACAAACCAGCGCCGUGUUCAGAACCGCGCGGACACGGAAGAGAUUUUUGCUCAGCUAUACAGUCGUUCGAUCUUCUCACGUUAGUCGCGCCUCUUUCUUCAAUUUACAUCAUCGACAUUGUUUCACGGCAUAAUUGACAAUUAACAUUCAUAUAAUUUCUCCUCUUUCCAAUUUCAUAAAUCCUUUUACAAAAUAGUGUUGUGUUACGAACUGAUGCUGCUUCAGAGUGAUUUUGUUUGUAUUUUCUUUGUAUACUGUCGGGAUUUAUUUCCGUGCCAUCUCCACUUGAGAUUGAAGGGAAUAGUUUUCUAGUUCCAUUUAAACUGAUUUCAAGUGUUUGACAAGUAUUUUGAGAAACUUGAUGCAAAAAUGAUAGGGGAAAGUAUACGGCAAAUGUUGUGGUUGCGUGUUCAAAGCAGUAGUAGAACGAUUUUGCGAAAGUUGAUAAUCGCCAAUGAAUUUUAAAUUCCACGAGUGAAAGCGACAUUUAGUUCAAUGUAUAAGGGAAAAUUUCUUUUGGAAAGAUUUAGAAUUGUACAUUUUAGAGUUGAAAAUAUUUUUCUAUAAUCUUGAAAGUGUAACGGAACUAAUGUUCGGUAGUAUUAAUAAUAAUUUUUAAUACUUUAAACACAAGUGUUAAAUAAAUUAUAUUACAUAUUUUAGUGAACUAUUUUUCAGUAGAGGAUAGAAGAAAAAUACAGAUUUUUACAUGUUACGAUGCAAAUGUUUUGCAGAUGUUUUGAAAUUAUGUAAGAAAAAAUUUAUGACAUGAAUAGUUUACCAAAAGUAAUAAAAAAAAGGUGCUUCUAUAAAUUAAAGAGGAAGGAAAUAAAGGCGAUAUAAAUACGAUGCUUUUAAAUUUCAUCUAUAGACGAAUUUAGAAGAGUUUUAAUACUGUUUAACAUUUUUUAGCCAUUUUUAAUGUCACCAAGAUUUUUUAGCAGAAAAUUUCGAGCAGUUUUAAAAGAAACUGGAAAUAUUUUAAUAUAUUGAAUUCUACUUCAAUUCUUACAUUGUAAAUGUAAAUGUAAAACAAAGUGUGUAUAUCUGAAUCCUUCAAAUUCCUCGACCCCUGUUUCUUAUGACGCAUUGGAAAUUACUGUAGCAGACAAUCUAUUGUCCAACCAUGUCUUAGGCUUUGAAAUAAAUUGCUUUUGCACAGUGA